GAUGAACGCUGGCGGCGUGCUUAACACAUGCAAGUCGAACGGUGAAGCAGGAGCUUGCUCUCGUGGAUCAGUGGCGAACGGGUGAGUAACACGUGAGCAACCUGCCCCUGACUCUGGGAUAAGCGCUGGAAGCGGCGUCUAAUACUGGAUAUGUGAUGUGACCGCAUGGUCUGCAUCUGGAAAGAAUUUCGGUUGGGGAUGGGCUCGCGGCCUAUCAGCUUGUUGGUGAGGUAAUGGCUCACCAAGGCGUCGACGGGUAGCCGGCCUGAGAGGGUGACCGGCCACACCGGGACUGAGACACGGCCCAGACUCCUACGGGAGGCAGCAGUGGGGAAUAUUGCACAAUGGGCGGAAGCCUGAUGCAGCAACGCCGCGUGAGGGAUGACGGCCUUCGGGUUGUAAACCUCUUUUAGCAGGGAAGAAGCGAAAGUGACGGUACCUGCAGAAAAAGCACCGGCUAACUACGUGCCAGCCGCCGCCGUAA
RNAcentral lists this ribosomal RNA (484 nucleotides) under uncultured bacterium. Its description in RNAcentral is "partial 16S ribosomal RNA". It matches the Rfam family "Bacterial small subunit ribosomal RNA", at positions 28 to 523 of the family's 1533-position model. The record is from RNAcentral.